ACGAACGCUGGCGGCGUGCUUAACACAUGCAAGUCGAGCGGUAAGGCCCUUUCGGGGGUACACGAGCGGCGAACGGGUGAGUAACACGUGGGUGACCUGCCCUCAGCUCUGGGAUAAGCCUGGGAAACCGGGUCUAAUACUGGAUAUGACUCCAUGACGCAUGUUGUGGGGUGGAAAGCCUUGUGCGGCUGAGGAUGGGCCCGCGGCCUAUCAGCUUGUUGGUGGGGUGAUGGCCUACCAAGGCGACGACGGGUAGCCGGCCUGAGAGGGCGACCGGCCACACUGGGACUGAGACACGGCCCAGACUCCUACGGGAGGCAGCAGUGGGGAAUCUUGCGCAAUGGGCGAAAGCCUGACGCAGCGACGCCGCGUGAGGGAUGACGGCCUGG
RNAcentral lists this ribosomal RNA (389 nucleotides) under uncultured bacterium. Its description in RNAcentral is "bacterial SSU rRNA". It matches the Rfam family "Bacterial small subunit ribosomal RNA", at positions 29 to 419 of the family's 1533-position model. The record is from RNAcentral.